Paramuricea clavata is the source of this 97-nucleotide non-coding RNA. Lineage: Eukaryota; Metazoa; Cnidaria; Anthozoa; Malacalcyonacea; Plexauridae. The record is from the annotation of a GenBank genome assembly.
GGCGAAUUUCCUAAAGGAGGGCGAAAUUCCUAGGAUUUUCGCCCCCCCGGGGGGGGGGGCGAUAUUCCUAGGAAUUUCGCCCCCGGGGAGAAAAUGU